UGCGCAUGCGCGCUGCGCUUAUCCGGUUUUGGUUUACAGACAAUGCAUCUCAUCUCUGUGAUCGAAAAUAUAAAAAAAGAGAAACAAAAGCCGGAGCCAGCGACAUCGCUCGAAUUUAUUCAAUCUUGGCGAUAAGACUGAGUGUUUGCAGAACCAUAGGAGUAUCGUUGGAAGAGACGAAGACAGGGUAAUGGCUUAAACACACGAAUGGUUUUUAGAAUGACGUGCCGGCCAAACUAUUGCAAGUUUGACUGUUCAGCAUAAUGUUAGAACAACAAACUCUUCACCUAUGCACGGUCAUAAGCCCCCGCCAGGUCCUGGCCUGUCAUUUGUGUCACAAGGAAGUACCACACCUGGUCAUGUGUCAGGAAUUGGAGAGAUAACAUCUUACUUAGAAGUAAAUUGAAGGCAGCCAACAAUUGGACGGUGGUGCCAAUCAAUGAAAAGAAGGGAUACACGUACAUGCACUGAGUACACAGAGAUCAUCAAGGAAAAAACCCUUCGAUCAAAGUUCCUUUUUGAUUCAGCUUAUCCAAAGCUAAUUGCCCCUUAUAUAUCCACCUGCGGCUAAUGAGGAGCUGCAAUAUCCAAUAGGUCAAGGGAAAGCAACCCGGAAACAAUAUGAAGAUUUACUCAUACAAAUUGGUACAUGGUGUAUGUAACUAUGUUGUUUUAACUAACUUCAACAUACCAUUAUUAUGAAUUAAAAAAUUGACAAAGCUGAAAUCAAUGAUAACUGACUAUGGGUAGGAACAUGUUGUGUGAAUUUUUGGCAGCAUGAUUUUAUAGGAUGUAUACCAUUGAGUAUGAAAGUGCAUGUGUGACCCUGGCUGUUUUUUCAGUCAGUAGAUGACUUUAGUAUUUGAAAUGAUGCUUGAAUUUAUUUGUGUAAUACAUGUAUGAAGGCGUUAUGGUCGACUGUCCUGUCAUCAUCAUGGUGAUAAAAUGUGAUUUUAAUAAGUGAACUGCUUAUAAACAUAGGGCAGAAAUAUCAUUGAUAAAAUACUGAUGAACAUAGCAUACAAGUGCCCUGAAAUGCCAUGAGAAUAUGUAUUUGAGUUUUAAGUGUGUAAGGUAUUGUGAAUUUUGUUAAUUGUUUUGUUAUAAAAAUAUAGGAUCCAAAGUAUUCAAUCAUAGAUCACUCUGAAAAAGAAAAAUAAGUAAAAACCUUGUCUGGCAAAUAACUACAUAAACAAUGGGCCAAGUUCCAGUUUUUUUUGUCACAAGUCAAGAGCACUAACAGGAAUUGUUGACUCUUAUAGGUGUUAUGUAUCAUGAUUUGUGUUAAGUUUUUUAUGGGAUGCAUGAUCGAACACGGUGAAUUAAUUGUUUUGUUAUUACAAUAGAGGAUCCAAAGUAUUUGAUCAUAGGUCACUCACUCUGAAACAGAAGAAUUUGUGAAAACCUUGUCUGGCAAAUAGCUAAAUAAACACGGGGCUCAGCAUUUUCCUGAUUUUUUGUCACAAGUAAAGACUAUGAAAAGGAAUUAUUGACUCUUUUAGGUAUAAGCUACCAUAGUCAAUGUUGAGUGCGUGCUGCACACCACAUUUGUUUAUGUUCCAUUAACAAUAACAUCAAAGCACAAUGCUAUAUAUAGAUUAUGUAUUGUUUUCCAUUGUUUAUCAGUCUAUAAACAACCAUUUAUUAUGCCCCCCUUCGAAGAAGAGGGGGUAUAUUGCUUUGCUCAUGUCGGUUGGUCGGUCGGUAUGUCGGUCCGUCCACCAGGUGGUUGUCGGAUGAUAACUCAAGAACGCAUACGCCUAGGAUCAUGAAACUUCAUAGGUAGAUUGAUCAUGACUCACAGAUGACCCCUAUUGAUUUUGAGGUCACUAGGUCAAAGGUCAAGGUCACGGUGACCCGAAAUAGUAAAAUGGUUUCCGGAUGAUAACUCAAGAACGCAUACGCCUAGGAUCAUGAAACUUCAUGGGUAGAUUGAUCAUGACUUGCAGAUGACCCCUUUUGAUUUUGAGGUCACUAGGUCAAAGGUCAAGGUCACGGUGACCCGAAACAGUAAAAUGGUUUCCGGAUGAUAACUCAAAUAUGCAUACGCCUGGGAUCAUGAAACUGCAUGGGUAGAUUGAUCAUGACUCGCAGAUGACCCCUAUUGAUUUUGAGGUCACUAGGUCAAAGGUCAAGGUCACGGUGACCCGAAAUAGUAAAAUGGUUUCCGAAUGAUAACUCAAGAAUGCAUACGCCUAGGAUCAUGAAACUUCAUGAGUAGAUUGAUCAUGACUGGCAGAUGACCCCUAUUGAUUUUGAGGUCACUAGGUCAAAGGUCAAGGUCACGGUGACCCGAAAUAGUAAUAUGGUUUCCGGAUGAUAACUCAAGAAUGCAUACGCCUAGGAUCAUGAAACUUCAUGGGUAGAUUGAUCAAGACUCGCAGAUGACCCCUAUUGAUUUUGAGGUCACUAGGUCAAAGGUCAAGGUCACAGUGACCCGAAAUAGUAAAAUGGUUUUCGGAUGAUAACUCAAGAACGCAUAUGCCUAGGAUCAUGAAACUUCAUAGGUUGAUUGAUCAUGACUCGCAGAUGAACCCUAUUGAUUUUGAGGUCACAAGGUCAAAGGUCAAGGUCACGGUGACCAGAAAUAGUAAAAUGAGUUUUGGAUGAUAACUCAAGAACGCUUUUGCCUAGGAUCAUGACACUUCAUAGGUACAUUGAUCGUGACUCGCAGAUGACCCCUAUUGAUUUUCAGGUCACUAGGUCAAAGGUCAAGGUCACAGUGACAAAAAACGUAUUCACACAAUGGCUGCCACUACAACGAAAAGCCCAUAUGGGGGGCAUGCAUGUUUUACAAACAGCCCUUGUUGUAAUAGCCUUACAUAAACUGUCAUAAAGAUGAUAAAGAUCCAUAAAUAAAAAAUUGGUGGAAUUCAGAAAUAAUUUGAUCUGUCAAAUGUUGAAAGUUGGAAACAUUUAUUAAAAAUGUUAUCAAUUAUAGUUUUGUUUCAUGAAUAUAGAGUAUUAUGUUUUGUGUUCAUUAUGUUAUGGAUUUUGUUGUUUUGGUUUAGAAUGUUUUAAUAAAUAACAUGAAGAAAUAAGAA
This is a long non-coding RNA of Dreissena polymorpha, 3044 nucleotides long. RefSeq lists it as uncharacterized. NCBI's taxonomy places the organism in Eukaryota, Metazoa, Mollusca, Bivalvia, Myida, Dreissenidae. The record is from RefSeq and is a predicted model, not a curated record. The transcript is spliced from 3 exons.